CAGCGCCACGGUAAAACGGAGGGUGCAAGCGUUAUCCGGAUUUACUGGGUUUAAAGGGUGCGUAGGCGGGCAUGUAAGUCAGUGGUGAAAUACCGGAGCUUAACUUCGGAACUGCCAUUGAUACUAUAUGUCUUGAAUAUUGUGGAGGUAAGCGGAAUAUGUCAUGUAGCGGUGAAAUGCAUAGAUAUGACAUAGAACACCGAUUGCGGAGGCAGCUUGCUACGCAAAUAUUGACGCUGAGGCACGAAAGCGUGGGGAGCAAACAGGAUUAGAUACCCCCGUAGUCCCUGUCUCUUAUACA
This 301-nucleotide ribosomal RNA is filed under the name uncultured bacterium. RNAcentral's name for it is "partial 16S ribosomal RNA". It matches the Rfam family "Bacterial small subunit ribosomal RNA", at positions 509 to 808 of the family's 1533-position model. The record is from RNAcentral.